RNAcentral lists this ribosomal RNA (119 nucleotides) under Pteropus alecto (black flying fox). Lineage: Eukaryota; Metazoa; Chordata; Mammalia; Chiroptera; Pteropodidae. The record is from RNAcentral.
AUCUAUGGCUAUGCCAACCUGAACAAGCCCAAUCCCGUCUGAUCUCGGAAGCUAAGCAGGGUCAGGCCUGGUUAGUACUUGGAUAGGAGACCGCCUACAAAGACCAGGUGCUAUAGGCA